RNAcentral lists this unclassified non-coding RNA (329 nucleotides) under soil metagenome. RNAcentral describes it as "partial contains 5.8S ribosomal RNA, internal transcribed spacer 2, and large subunit ribosomal RNA". The stretch from base 1 to 120 matches the Rfam family "5.8S ribosomal RNA", at positions 35 to 154 of the family's 154-position model. The record is from RNAcentral.
GAUGAAGAACGCAGCGAAAUGCGAUAAGUAGUGUGAAUUGCAGAAUUCAGUGAAUCAUCGAAUCUUUGAACGCACAUUGCGCCCCUUGGUAUCCCGAGGGGCAUGCCUGUUCGAGCGUCAUUUCACCACUCAAGCCUGGCUUGGUGUUGGGCGACGUCCUCUUUGGGGACGCGCCUCGAAACGCUCGGCGGCGUGGCACCGGCUUUAAGCGUAGCAGAAUCUUUCGCUUUGGAAGUCGGGGCCCCGUCUGCCGGAAGACCUGCUCGCAAGGUUGACCUCGGAUCAGGCAAGGAUACCCGCUGAACUUAAGCAUAUCAAUAAGCGGAGGA